UACGGAGGGAGCUAGCGUUGUUCGGAAUUACUGGGCGUAAAGCGCACGUAGGCGGCUUUGUAAGUUAGAGGUGAAAGCCCGGGGCUCAACUCCGGAACUGCCUUUAAGACUGCAUCGCUUGAAUCCAGGAGAGGUGAGUGGAAUUCCGAGUGUAGAGGUGAAAUUCGUAGAUAUUCGGAAGAACACCAGUGGCGAAGGCGGCGAUCUGGGAAGAUACUGACGCUGAGGUGCGAAAGCGUGGGGAGCGAACAGG
This 253-nucleotide ribosomal RNA is filed under the name uncultured bacterium. Its description in RNAcentral is "partial 16S ribosomal RNA". It matches the Rfam family "Bacterial small subunit ribosomal RNA", at positions 524 to 776 of the family's 1533-position model. The record is from RNAcentral.